CUGCAGCCACCCGCUUCCGCCCGCGUGACGCAGAGCUGCGGGCGCGCGCACGCGCGCUCGGGCCCCUCACUGCCCCGCGACCUAGCGCGGGCGCCGAGGAAUGGAUCCUUCCAGCCCAACCAGCAGGGGCGAUAAGGAGAGGGGGCUUCGUAGCCCUGGGCAACGGCACGCGCUGCACGGAUCGUCCCAAGCCAAUGAGAGGGGGUUUCUCAGCCCUGGGCAGUGGCACAAGCCGUGUUCCAACCCAAGAAGAACAAAAUAGGAAGCUGUCACCUUGAUAGACAAAUCUGAGUAUGAAUCGGACGCUUCUGAUCCAAUCUGCAUACAUAGGAAAACAGAUAGUUUUCAAAGUUGCUGGAGCCUAGCUGUCACUACAACUUUCUAGAGACCAGGAUUGUUUUCUCUUCUUCCCUUUCUUCACCCAAAUAAAAGUAAAUACAGAAGUGAGUCUCCUUAUUUACCUGAUCUGGUCCUGGUUUGAGGAAGAAGAGAUGCUGCCCAUGGGAAAGGGUGAUGCUGCACAAUGGAAGAAUUCAAAAUGGACAGGAAGUCCUCAGAGUUUGGGAGGGGGGGAAGAGGAGUAAAGACUUCAACUGGAAUUAGGUGUAACAUUUCUCUGACUCCCACUACAACUGCUCUAUGUAAUAAGUUUUAAUUAGGAGUAAAGUAUCUCCUUGCUUUGAGCAAUACCAAAUGAUUAAAGAUUUCAGCUUAUUAAACAGUCUACUGCAAACUGAAGGCUAUAAAAAACAGAAUUAAAAUGAAAUUUCAAGCUAACAGCUCGUAUAAUUUCUGUAAUCCUCAACCAAAACCAAGCUAUCUUCAGGCAAAACCAAAACCCUCAGAAAGGAGCUAAUUUCAGUUUGGAAACUAGAGCACAGUGGCAAAAAGAGUGGAAGAGGUAACAGUAUAAAACAAAAACAAAAAAACCCAUCACUACCCUUUCAUUCAAAGAAGAAAAAAAGGAUUUCUUUAGAGUGUGCUUUUCCUAAUAGUCACCAAGCUUCUCAAUUGGAAAGAACAUAACAAAAAGCCUGUCUAAUCCAGUAUCCUAUACGUGAUGCUGCCCAAAAUGGGUACGUAUGGGACAGUGAAGCUGUGUCAAGGGAUGGGUCAGUGUGUGUUUGAGGGAGGGAUGCCGUGUGCGU
Molecule: long non-coding RNA, 1148 nt
Organism: Mauremys mutica (yellowpond turtle)
Lineage: Eukaryota; Metazoa; Chordata; Testudines; Geoemydidae
Exons: 3
Source: RefSeq, a predicted model, not a curated record